CCAAUAGCGUAUAUUAAGGUUGUUGCAGUUAAAAAGCUCGUAGUUGAAUUUCGGGGUUAGUAGGUUGGUCAUGCCUCUGGUAUGUACUGGUCUCACUGAUUCCUCCUUCCUGAUGAGCCGUAAUGCCAUUAAUUUGGUGUUGCGGGGAAUUUGGCCUGUUACUUUGAAAAAAUUAGAGUGUUUAAAGCAAGCUAACGCUUGAAUACAUUAGCAUGGAAUAAUGAAAUAGGACGUUCGAUCCUAUUUUGUUGGUUUCUAGGAUUGACGUAAUGAUUAAUAGGGAUAGUUGGGGGCAUUAGUAUUCAAUUGUCAGAGGUGAAAUUCUUGGAUUUAUUGAAGACUAACUACUGCGAAAGCAUUUGCCAAGGAUGUUUUCAUUAAUCAAGAACGAAAGUUAGGGGAUCGAAGACGAUCAGAUACCGUCGUAGUCUUAACCAUAAACUAUGCCGACUAGGGAUCGGAUGAUGUUAAUUUUUUAAUGACUCAUUCGGCGCCUUACG
RNAcentral lists this ribosomal RNA (500 nucleotides) under uncultured Glomeromycotina. RNAcentral's name for it is "partial small subunit ribosomal RNA". It matches the Rfam family "Eukaryotic small subunit ribosomal RNA", at positions 591 to 1092 of the family's 1831-position model. Lineage: Eukaryota; Fungi; Glomeromycota. The record is from RNAcentral.